AUGCAAGUCGACGGUGAACACGAGAGCUUGCUCUGUGGGAUCAGUGGCGAACGGGUGAGUAACACGUGAGCAACCUGCCCCUGACUCUGGGAUAAGCGCUGGAAACGGCGUCUAAUACUGGAUACGAGUAGCGACCGCAUGGUCAGCUACUGGAAAGAUUUAUUGGUUGGGGAUGGGCUCGCGGCCUAUCAGCUUGUUGGUGAGGUAAUGGCUCACCAAGGCGUCGACGGGUAGCCGGCCUGAGAGGGUGACCGGCCACACUGGGACUGAGACACGGCCCAGACUCCUACGGGAGGCAGCAGUGGGGAAUAUUGCACAAUGGGCGCAAGCCUGAUGCAGCAACGCCGCGUGAGGGAUGACGGCCUUCGGGUUGUAAACCUCUUUUAGCAGGGAAGAAGCGAAAGUGACGGUACCUGCAGAAAAAGCGCCGGCUAACUACGUGCCAGCAGCCGCGGUAAUACGUAGGGCGCAAGCGUUAUCCGGAAUUAUUGGGCGUAAAGAGCUCGUAGGCGGUUUGUCGCGUCUGCUGUGAAAUCCGGAGGCUCAACCUCCGGCCUGCAGUGGGUACGGGCAGACUAGAGUGCGGUAGGGGAGAUUGGAAUUCCUGGUGUAGCGGUGGAAUGCGCAGAUAUCAGGAGGAACACCGAUGGCGAAGGCAGAUCUCUGGGCCGUAACUGACGCUGAGGAGCGAAAGGGUGGGGAGCAAACAGGCUUAGAUACCCUGGUAGUCCACCCCGUAAACGUUGGGAACUAGUUGUGGGGUCCAUUCCACGGAUUCCGUGACGCAGCUAACGCAUUAAGUUCCCCGCCUGGGGAGUACGGCCGCAAGGCUAAAACUCAAAGGAAUUGACGGGGACCCGCACAAGCGGCGGAGCAUGCGGAUUAAUUCGAUGCAACGCGAAGAACCUUACCAAGGCUUGACAUAUACGAGAACGGGCCAGAAAUGGUCAACUCUUUGGACACUCGUAAACAGGGUGGUGCAUGGGUUGUCGUCAGCUCGUGUCGUGAGAUGUUGGGUUAAGUCCCGCACGAG
RNAcentral lists this ribosomal RNA (1033 nucleotides) under Microbacterium foliorum. Its description in RNAcentral is "bacterial SSU rRNA". It matches the Rfam family "Bacterial small subunit ribosomal RNA", at positions 55 to 1096 of the family's 1533-position model. Lineage: Bacteria; Bacillati; Actinomycetota; Actinomycetes; Micrococcales; Microbacteriaceae. The record is from RNAcentral.